CGUGUAGGCGGCUAUGCAGGUCGGAUGUGAAAGUCCCGGGCUUAACCCGGGAAGUGCAUUCGAAACCGCGUGGCUAGAGUAAGAGAGGGGAAAGUGGAAUUCCUGGUGUAGAGGUGAAAUUCGUAGAUAUCAGGAGGAACACCGGUGGCGAAGGCGGCUUUCUGGCUCUAUACUGACGCUGAGACGCGAAAGCGUGGGUAGCAAACAGGAUUAGAUACCCUGGUAGUCC
This 229-nucleotide ribosomal RNA is filed under the name uncultured bacterium. RNAcentral's name for it is "partial 16S ribosomal RNA". It matches the Rfam family "Bacterial small subunit ribosomal RNA", at positions 568 to 796 of the family's 1533-position model. The record is from RNAcentral.